GGAACGAUGUUCGACAGCGCGCAACGAGCCAAUGACGGAUCGUGUCAACCGAUUCAUCCUUCAAAGGGGAUCGUUGGUCGCUUAUGAGACGCGACACCGAUCGCGUUCAAUCGUUUUCUUUCCCUGAAGCAUUAGAACUACCGGGAAGUUCUGUUCGUUUUAUGAUCUUUGAUAUUUUUCAGUCUUGUGCUUCAUGAUGAACAACGACCACUGCGUUGUGUUUGCUGAGAUACUUGGAUCACAGAUGGCUGUCCAGUGAGGAGUUCAACAAACUCUGAGCAUCUCUGAACAACCAUUCAUCCGAAUGAAAAUGUUAUUUCUUCGACGAGCACUGCGAGUAUCCAUGCAUCAGACGGAACAGAUGUGCACAGGGAUAUAUGCAAUCCCUGGAAGCGGAGCAAUUGCAUAUCGCCGCAAUCCACCGACGACACGAUGAAGAACUGAGUAUAUGCACCACCAUCUCUUUCACCCAUCAUCUCGAGCAGAAACACGCCUGCCGUUUAUGGACCCGUGAACAAUUUGAAAAACUUCCCGUACCGCUGUUACGUUCAAUCGAACCAUUCUAAAUAUUUUGCUUCCCCAACUCCUCCGAUUUUUUUUCCUUUAUUCAACUAACAGCAGUUCGUCGGAGAUUGCUAAAAAUCUCAAUCGAGGCUUCUCUCUCUUCGUGUGAUCUGGAUACAACG
Osmia lignaria (orchard mason bee) is the source of this 686-nucleotide non-coding RNA. The record is from RefSeq and is a predicted model, not a curated record. Lineage: Eukaryota; Metazoa; Arthropoda; Insecta; Hymenoptera; Megachilidae.